Acanthopagrus latus (yellowfin seabream) is the source of this 804-nucleotide long non-coding RNA. RefSeq lists it as uncharacterized. The record is from RefSeq and is a predicted model, not a curated record. The transcript is spliced from 4 exons. NCBI's taxonomy places the organism in Eukaryota, Metazoa, Chordata, Actinopteri, Spariformes, Sparidae.
UAGUCAUUCCUCAGCAACACAAUCCAUCUGCGACGCUCGAGCCAUUGCAGGAGCUAUUUUGGAACGGCGUGUGGCAACUUACUUAUUUUUGGUGCACCUAAUUUCCUUCACGCUGCCUCAUCCACUCCCCCGUGCCAGGAUCAGCUCUGGAUCCCACUUUGUCAACCAGGAGGCGACAAAAUGCAGCGAGACAGAGAGGAAGGAGGAGGGCUCCUGGGGGGGGUUCCAUGUGGGCUAAACUGUGGGAGUCUGAACCACCACCGGCCCACCGAUUUCAUGUCCACUUUACAGAUUACAAAUUAGCACCACGUAUCUUUAUACCAUGGCAACAGCUGUCUUCUACAGCGGUAUUAACGGCGCUGGUCCACCGAAGCCAGAGGGCCGAUGGCGACAGUGGAUGUCGGUGCAACGUGAGCUCCACCUAGUGGUACCAAAUGGAAACUUUUGAGAGCAGAGAGCUCACACAUACUGCCAGAAUGUGCAUUUGGUCAAUCCACUGAUCAAUUAGUCCUGUUUUCUACAACAAUGGCCCAUCUUUAAGAAGCAGCGGCCUCCAUUCAAGGGGCUUUGCAAACUCCAAAGUCUACAAAAGAGCUUUCGCAGCCAAUUUAUCAGUGCUCAGAACCUAAACACCAGAGCUAACCUCCUACAAAAUGACAGUGCAUAGAUUAUUAGGAUGGCUGAAAAACUAAUAGAUUCACAUGAUUUCCUCUCAUAUUUCAAAAAAAUCUAGGAACAUAUUCUAAGAUGGCUAUAUUUAAAUUUUUACCAUUAUACAUAUCAUUAAAGAGAUAUAGUCGUGAA